Molecule: transfer RNA, 78 nt
Filed under: Streptomyces sp. ADI92-24
Lineage: Bacteria; Bacillati; Actinomycetota; Actinomycetes; Kitasatosporales; Streptomycetaceae
Description: tRNA-Ser
Source: RNAcentral
UGGACAGCGGCCGGGUGGCGGGCGGCGCGCUGGAGCUGUGCCACCUGGGGGCGCUGUACGACGCGGCGUUCUUCGCCC